AGCGAGAAGGUUAAGUUUUUCCUGGAGCUUCCCCAGUGAUCACGUGAUUUGUCUCCGGCACUUGGACGGCACGGUCUGAUUUGAAAGAAACGGACACUACAUACUCACUCCUUGGUGAAGCAAACUGCUCAAGCACCUGUGACUUCACAACCAUGGAGCCUGAGCCAAGUGGAACCGUGGCCACAAGGUCGCUGUGGAAAUUUUAGCCCCAUGUCCACUCCGGAACAUUCUGUCUGCAGCUCAGCAAUUGACUGGCGGUUUCUCUGGUUCCAAUGUCAGCUGGAUUUAGACGUGUUUCAGCAAAGUGAGGACUUAAUCAAAAAAGAUGGAAUAUACAAGAAAAAAUGUGUAUGUCUUGGUCUGCUCAUCUAGUGGCAGAUGAAGCUCUAUCUCCUCAGACCAUCUCCUAGACCACAGAAAUCAUCCCUUUUGUUACACCCUUCAUCAGCGAGCAUUUCCUGGGUUCUGAACACCCCUUAUUUUCUCCUUCCCUUCAUUUUCCUUCCUUUCCCUUCUCCUUUUUGUAAAAGAAUGACUGUGACUCCCAGUUGUUACAAAUCUGCAAUGAGACAGAUGAUCAUGUCGGUGUUAGGCAAAGACUUUUCCAUACACCCAAAUUUACCCAUCCUUGGAAUAGGCAUUCCAUAUAUGCAUGUUCCUGUCUUAGGCAUCUGGGGAGAAUAAACUUGAAAAUCAUCUCUAACUGCUGACCUCUGUGAACAAAAGAGAUUAGGGGAGAGAGAUACCUAUGGGCUCUGUGUCUCAGAGCCAUACUUUCUAGUCAGGAGAGAUCAUAAUGCUUUAUGAAUAAUCGUGCUCCUAAAGGCUGUAGUCUCCUAGUUAAAGGAGAGGAGGAUUGCCUGAGUUGAAAAUGUUUCUUCAGCUGGUCUAGAGGACCUCUUGAAUUUUUUACAUUGUACCAAAACCCAAAAUUCUUAACUUAUGAAUUAAACCCAAACAUUUACAGGAGUGUCAAACUUUUCUCAACAUCUUAUAAGCAGUUACAAACAUUAUCAGGUCAAUACCAUAAUUCUAGAAUGGGAACGAACAAUAAAUUCAUAAUUUAACAUAUCACAAUUUUUCUUAAAUCUAUAUUAAUAAAAGGACAAGAAAAGUUUUUUUUUGAUGGGUGAGAGUCCAAUGACAUUGCUGUUAUCAGACACCAGUUCCAGUCUCUGCGCAGCAGUUAAACCCUUAGACUGUGCCCCUCUAACUUCAGAGCGGCUUCAGUUAUUCUUUGUUUUGAGUCUUUCUUUCCCUGAAGGGAAAGCUUAGGUCUUAGUUCUCAGGUCCAACAUUUUAAUCAAAACAAGUUCUGUGUCCCAAAGAUUAAAACAGUCAAAUGUUCAGUCUACAUUUCAGUUCCAAAGCAAACAGGAUUCAGACUGCAAAAUUGUAGUCAUCAUGUAGUAUGGCCUCUGCCUGGGUCUGUGUGUGUCACAAGUGUCUGGAAGCAGCUCAGCAUCCUGCAAUGCAGAUCAGCAUUGGCAGGUCCCAAGGACCAGGCACUUCUCUCUGUGGGGUUGGAGAAAAAUGGACCAGGGACUCCUCUCCAAUUCCUUCCUCUCCUUACAGGGGUAUUUGCAGCUACAACGUCAUCAGGUCUGUCACUCUGUUACUGCAUAUGCAGUCAUCUCAUUCAUCUUUAUUUUCUUUCUGUGAAAAAAAGCACAAAUACAUCCUUGACCCCCAUAUUAAUAUAGGGCCAGGCCAUUUUAUAAGUCAUUGCAAGGGCAUUUUCACCUUGCCUUAACAAAUGUCACCUUGGUGUCACCAUGCCAGAUCUGUCUGCAGCAGAUCUGUCUGCAACUUUUUUCCUUUUAAGUUGCUUUCAAGGAGCUAUGGCAUGCUCCACAAUUCGUUAUUAACCAUAUAUGCAGUACUUCCAUUGGAAGAGCCAUGUGUAAAAUUUAACAUAACAUUCUUUAAGGGAUCUUCAGCUAUAACAUUAGCAAAAUAUAGUUAUGUGAAUAGCAGCAACGAUCAGCUGGGAAAAGAUUAUUACUCUGGCCUUUAAACUGAGCAAACACAAUUGUCUAAGAAUCAUUAUUCUAAAAUUAUCAAUUAAUCUAUUGCUUAGUAUAAGAAACAUUGGUCAUAAUCAGUAUUCUUCUGAAAUAUCUCCU
Molecule: non-coding RNA, 2126 nt
Organism: Myodes glareolus (Bank vole)
Lineage: Eukaryota; Metazoa; Chordata; Mammalia; Rodentia; Cricetidae
Source: RefSeq, a predicted model, not a curated record